UUGGCAGUAAGCCAGGUGGAAUUCAAUAAAUUCUUCUUAGUCAAUGCAUUUUCCAUUGGUGUGCGUCGGAACUGAUUUAAUCACUGGUGUUCUUGGUCGAAGGGAACUGUUCUGCAGAACUUUGUGGCUUUGACUGGUCAGUCGUUGGAUCAGUGACCACCCAGCCUACUGGGACUGAGCUGGCUGAGAUUGUGGUUGCUUUUUGCGGAUGAGAAUACUCGUCCUGUGGUUGGCUUCUGCAUUUGACGCUGGUGUGUGCCUGUUGGGUGUCCUGACGUUAAUGUCGACCACCCUCCCGACCCGUCUUGAAACACGGACCAAGGAGUCUAACAUGUGCGCGAGUCAUUGGGUGUAAAGCUCAUAGGCGCAAUGAAAGUGAAGGUCGGCUUGUCCGGCUGAUACACGAUCCGGCGACUUGUUGUCGGUGCAGUGUAGCCCCAUCCUGAUUGCUCGUCAAUGGGGUGGAGGCUGAGCGUAUUUGUUGGGACCCGAAAGAUGGUGAACUAUGCCUGAACAGGAUGAGGCCAGAGGAAACUCUGGUGGAAGUCCGAAACGGUUCUGACGUGCAAAUCGAUCGUCAGAUUUGGGUAUAGGGGCGAAAGUACUAAUCG
This 611-nucleotide ribosomal RNA is filed under the name Tricoma sp. 3P15K2. RNAcentral's name for it is "eukaryotic LSU rRNA". It matches the Rfam family "Eukaryotic large subunit ribosomal RNA", at positions 437 to 937 of the family's 3401-position model. Lineage: Eukaryota; Metazoa; Nematoda; Chromadorea; Desmoscolecida; Desmoscolecidae. The record is from RNAcentral.